AUGCCAAGUUGACAUUCGAUACCAUGGUCAAGUAGGUGUUUUUCCUAAAGUGAGGCUCGCCCAUGGCACUCAGGGUGUGCUGACCCCCGUGGUUUCCUCAAGUGGGGCAAAUUUGACUGAAAUUUGUGGGAGGGAGGGACUGUGUCCAUGCCUUAC
This 156-nucleotide small nuclear RNA is filed under the name Mesocricetus auratus (golden hamster). RNAcentral describes it as "U1 spliceosomal RNA (ENSMAUG00000006201.1)". Lineage: Eukaryota; Metazoa; Chordata; Mammalia; Rodentia; Cricetidae. The record is from RNAcentral.